AACGGACGCUGGCGGCAUGCCUAACACAUGCAAGUCGAACGAGACCUUCGGGUCUAGUGGCGCACGGGUGCGUAACGCGUGGGAACCUGCCCUUAGGUUCGGAAUAACUCCCCGAAAGGGGUGCUAAUACCGGAUAAUGUCUUCGAACCAAAGAUUUAUCGCCUUUGGAUGGGCCCGCGUUGGUUUAGCUAGUUGGUAGGGUAAAAGCCUACCAAGGCGACGAUCCAUAGCUGGUCUGAGAGGAUGAUCAGCCACACUGGGACUGAGACACGGCCCAGACUCCUACGGGAGGCAGCAGUGGGGAAUAUUGGACAAUGGGCGAAAGCCUGAUCCAGCAAUGCCGCGUGAGUGAUGAAGGCCUUAGGGUUGUAAAGCUCUUUUACCCGGGAUGAUAAUGACAGUACCGGGAGAAUAAGCUCCGGCUAACUCCGUG
This 433-nucleotide ribosomal RNA is filed under the name uncultured bacterium. Its description in RNAcentral is "partial 16S ribosomal RNA". It matches the Rfam family "Bacterial small subunit ribosomal RNA", at positions 29 to 507 of the family's 1533-position model. The record is from RNAcentral.